Populus trichocarpa (black cottonwood) is the source of this 463-nucleotide long non-coding RNA. RefSeq lists it as uncharacterized. The transcript is spliced from 3 exons. Lineage: Eukaryota; Viridiplantae; Streptophyta; Magnoliopsida; Malpighiales; Salicaceae. The record is from RefSeq and is a predicted model, not a curated record.
CCGUUGCUACUUUCUCCUUGGAAAUAACACUUUCCUUGACCCCUCCAAAAACCACAAAACCCAGAAAUUUACCUUUUCACUUACACUGGAAAAGAGCUUCAAUGGCAUCCUUGUUGGUCUCCAUCAACUUCUCUAUGCCUCUCUCCGCCCCUAAAUUCUCAUUCAGGGAAUUACAACAAAGGAAAUCAGCUUUUACUUGACUAUCAAGCCAAGCAACAACCAGGACAGCAACCAACCGAUUGGUCCCUUGCAACUCAAUUAGAGAGAUACUUUCUGUGAAUCAGAGCUUCCGUGGAUAUCGAACAACACCCACCAACCUUUAUUACGAACUUGUUUCUAGUUGUAUGCAUGUAAGUUCUUAUACUCACAAAACAGUAACUGGUUAUUGGGUGGGACCAGAUAUAGAUGAUGGUUGAGGAUUUGUAGAAGCUUUCGUUAAUCAAAUUUCUUGAUUUUUUUAAAA